GGGGGUAUAACUUAAUUAGGUAAAGUGUUUGUUUUGCAAGCAUAAAAUACUGGUUCAAGCCCGGUUACUUCCA
RNAcentral lists this transfer RNA (73 nucleotides) under Entomoneis sp. RNAcentral describes it as "tRNA-Ala". It matches the Rfam family "tRNA". From Rfam's summary of the family: Transfer RNA (tRNA) molecules are approximately 80 nucleotides in length. Their secondary structure includes four short double-helical elements and three loops (D, anti-codon, and T loops). Further hydrogen bonds mediate the characteristic L-shaped molecular structure. tRNAs have two regions of fundamental functional importance: the anti-codon, which is responsible for specific mRNA codon recognition, and the 3' end, to which the tRNAs corresponding amino acid is attached (by aminoacyl-tRNA synthetases). tRNAs cope with the degeneracy of the genetic code in two manners: having more than one tRNA (with a specific anti-codon) for a particular amino acid; and 'wobble' base-pairing, i.e. permitting non-standard base-pairing at the 3rd anti-codon position. Lineage: Eukaryota; Bacillariophyta; Bacillariophyceae; Surirellales; Surirellaceae. The record is from RNAcentral.